Non-coding RNA from Pelobates cultripes (western spadefoot toad), 934 nucleotides. Lineage: Eukaryota; Metazoa; Chordata; Amphibia; Anura; Pelobatidae. The record is from the annotation of a GenBank genome assembly.
UAUUAUAUGAGAUAGAUAUUAUAUAUAUACACGGUAUAUAGUCAAUACAAUGUUAAAUAAAAAUCUGCACACCAGUCAAGCCAUAAUACUUGCUUUUCCCACAGGAAUCAAAGCAAGUCUCAUGCCUUGACUGGUGUGCAGAUUUUUGUUUAACAUUGUAUUAACUAUGCACAGACUUUAGGUGGAAAGGGGUUUUCAAUCACAAUUUUUCCCCACCAUAACUUUUUUGUUUUGGUGCCCAUGUAUUUAUAAUGUGAGCAUAACUUACUUUUUAUUGGUUUUAUUUCAGUUUUUUGUUAAGGUCCCAAUCCACAAACCCAGCUAACAGAAACUUAAGUGGAGUAACUUAAUUUCCACUUAUGCAACUUUCAUGUACUGACUGAUACUUGGAAGAUACUGUAACACAUUUAUUCUCCCAUUUGUCUCCAUAAUAUCAUUAUUAUUUACUAUAACAAUUACCUGUAGUUCACCACUGUAAUUUUCUGUACAUGCUGUUUCUAAAUUGUUAUUUACAGUGAAUGUAUUUCACCAAUAUUUCAUGUACAUGAAGUUAUUAAUAUGGUGGGAGAUAGAGUUUGGUUGGUAAACUUUGCAUUCAACAAAUGUUUGCUUUACCCAGCCACUCUAUCUAGGAAGGCUGUGUAAGUCUCAAUUAAAGGCACUACAUUUUCCAAUAACUAGAAGGUACUAUAGAUAUAGAUAAUUAAAAACUGGGUUAUAGAUAUAGAGGUAUUCUUUCUAAUGUGUGGCAUAAUCAUCUCUCUGCUGAUUUACAACAUGAGGGAAUUAUUUUCAAUCCAUGGUGAUCAUUUUUACAUCAUGGGAAUUCAAAAUGUCAUGCAGAAGGAACUCCUUUGAGGCACCCACCCUGAAAUGUACACACUGCUCACCUUGAAAUUAUGAAAACAUACUUUUAAAAAAGUAUAUAAAAUAU